This is a small nuclear RNA of Nannospalax galili (Upper Galilee mountains blind mole rat), 159 nucleotides long. Its record names the gene U1. It matches the Rfam family "U1 spliceosomal RNA". Rfam says of the family: U1 is a small nuclear RNA (snRNA) component of the spliceosome (involved in pre-mRNA splicing). The record is from Ensembl. Lineage: Eukaryota; Metazoa; Chordata; Mammalia; Rodentia; Spalacidae.
ACACUUAACCUGGCAGGGGAGAUACCAUGAUCAGAAGGUGGUUUUCCCAGGGUGAUUUCCAAUUGCACUCCGGAUGUGCUGACCCCUGCAAUUUUCCCAAAUGUGGGAAACUCUACUGCAUAAUUUGUGGUGGGGGGACUAUGUUCUCACUCUCCCCUG